GAUGAGUUAAAAAAUAGCACAACCAAGAAGAUAUUCCUUGAUGUAUGAUGUUUGUAGAUUUUAAUGAAUAAAGCAAUUAUUCAUAAUCACACGUUGAAGUUAUAGAGGAGUUAAAAGAGUUUGAACAAGAAUUUAAAGAACUAAAAUAGUGAAUGUGGAUUAGAAUUUUAUCAAGGCAAGGAAAAGUGAUGGAAAUGGGGUUAGAAUAGACAACAUAAGGUCCUAGAAAGCACACACUUUAGGUAACUAGCCUCCAGGGG
Molecule: unclassified non-coding RNA, 260 nt
Filed under: Hevea brasiliensis (rubber tree)
Lineage: Eukaryota; Viridiplantae; Streptophyta; Magnoliopsida; Malpighiales; Euphorbiaceae
Source: RNAcentral